RNAcentral lists this ribosomal RNA (428 nucleotides) under uncultured bacterium. RNAcentral describes it as "partial 16S ribosomal RNA". It matches the Rfam family "Bacterial small subunit ribosomal RNA", at positions 354 to 796 of the family's 1533-position model. The record is from RNAcentral.
GUGGGGAAUUUUGGACAAUGGGCGCAAGCCUGAUCCAGCGACGCCGCGUGAGUGAUGAAGGCCUUCGGGUCGUAAAGCUCUGUUGCAGGGGAAGAACACAAUGACGGUACCCUGCUAGAAAGGAUCGGCUAACUUCGUGCCAGCAGCCGCGGUAAGACGAGGGAUCCUAGCGUUGUUCGGAAUUAUUGGGCGUAAAGCGGGUGCAGGUGGCUUGGUAAGUCAGAUGUGAAAGCCUGGGGCUUAACCCCAGAAGUGCAUUUGAUACUGCUGAGCUUGAGUGCUGGAGAGGCUAUUAGAAUUCCUGGUGUAGUGGUGAAAUACGUAGAUAUCAGGAGGAAUACCGGAGGCGAAGGCGGAUAGCUGGCCAGACACUGACACUCAGACCCGAAAGCGUGGGGAUCAAACAGGAUUAGAUACCCCUGUAGUCC